This 301-nucleotide ribosomal RNA is filed under the name uncultured bacterium. RNAcentral's name for it is "partial 16S ribosomal RNA". It matches the Rfam family "Bacterial small subunit ribosomal RNA", at positions 509 to 807 of the family's 1533-position model. The record is from RNAcentral.
CAGCAGCCGCGGGAAUACGUAGGGUGCAAGCGUUAAUCGGAAUUACUGGGCGUAAAGCGUGCGCAGGCGGUUAUGCAAGACAGAUGUGAAAUCCCCGGGCUCAACCUGGGAACUGCAUUUGUGACUGUAGAGCUGGAGUGUGGUAGAGGGGGAUGGAAUUCCGCGUGUAGCAGUGAAAUGCGUAGAUAUGCGGAGGAACACCGAUGGCGAAGGCAAUCCCCUGGGCCUGCACUGACGCUCAUGCACGAAAGCGUGGGGAGCAAACAGGAUUAGAUACCCGAGUAGUCCCUGACUCUUAUAC